UCCCUGGUGGCUCAGAUGGUAAAGCAUCUGCCUACAAUGCAGGAGACCCGGGUUCAAUCCCUGGGUUGGGAA
Bos taurus (domestic cattle) is the source of this 72-nucleotide non-coding RNA. Lineage: Eukaryota; Metazoa; Chordata; Mammalia; Artiodactyla; Bovidae. The record is from Rfam.